RNAcentral lists this ribosomal RNA (843 nucleotides) under Gordius sp. KW-2011-C. Its description in RNAcentral is "SSU rRNA". It matches the Rfam family "Eukaryotic small subunit ribosomal RNA", at positions 54 to 912 of the family's 1831-position model. Lineage: Eukaryota; Metazoa; Nematomorpha; Gordioida; Gordea; Gordiidae. The record is from RNAcentral.
CAUGUAUAAGUAUAAACUAACUUAAAGUGAAACCGCGAAUGGCUCAUUAAAUCAGUUAUGGUUUAUUAGAUCGUACAACCCACAUGGAUAACUGUGGUAAUUCUAGAGCUAAUACAUGCUAAAAAGUCGAAUCGCGAGGUUCGACCGCUUUUAUUAGAACAAAAACUAACGUUUUUGGUGACUCUGGAUAACUUUGUGCCGAUCGCACGGUCUCGUACCGGCGACGUAUCUUUCAAAUGUCUGCCUUAUCAACUGUCGAUGGUAGGUUAUGCGCCUACCAUGGUCGUAACGGGUAACGGAGAAUCAGGGUUCGAUUCCGGAGAGGGAGCCUGAGAAACGGCUACCACAUCCAAGGAAGGCAGCAGGCGCGCAAAUUACCCACUCCCGGCACGGGGAGGUAGUGACGAUAAAUAACAAUGCAGGUCUCUUUCGAGACCCUGUAAUUGGAAUGAGAUCACUUUAAAUCCUUUAACGAGGAUCUAUUGGAGGGCAAGUCUGGUGCCAGCAGCCGCGGUAAUUCCAGCUCCAAAAGCGUAUAUUAAAGUUGUUGCAGUUAAAAAGCUCGUAGUUGGAUCUCGGGUAACGGUGAGAAGCCCGCUUAACCGCGAUCGUUUCUCAGUCCGACCUACUAUUCGUCCUCCCCUCGAUGCUCUUCACUGAGUGUCUUGGGUAGACGGAACUUUUACUUUGAAAAAAUUAGAGUGCUCAAAGCAGGCUCGAAGCCUCGAAUAUCGAUGCAUGGAAUAAUGGAAUAGGACCUCGGUUCUAUUUUGUUGGUUUUCGGAAACCGAGGUAAUGAUUAAGAGGAACGGACGGGGGCAUCCGUACUGUGGCGCUAGAGGU